CCUACGGGAGGCAGCAGUGGGGAAUAUUGCACAAUGGGCGCAAGCCUGAUGCAGCCAUGCCGCGUGUGUGAAGAAGGCCUUCGGGUUGUAAAGCACUUUCAGCGGGGAGGAAGGCGUUAAGGUUAAUAACCUUGUCGAUUGACGUUACCCGCAGAAGAAGCACCGGCUAACUCCGUGCCAGCAGCCGCGGUAAUACGGAGGGUGCAAGCGUUAAUCGGAAUUACUGGGCGUAAAGCGCACGCAGGCGGUCUGUCAAGUCGGAGGUGAAAUCCCCGGGCUCAACCUGGGAACUGCAUUCGAAACUGGCAGGCUAGAGUCUUGUAGAGGGGGGUAGAAUUCCAGGUGUAGCGGUGAAAUGCGUAGAGAUCUGGAGGAAUACCGGUGGCGAAGGCGGCCCCCUGGACAAAGACUGACGCUCAGGUGCGAAAGCGUGGGGAGCAAACAGGAUUAGAUACCCGAGUAGUC
RNAcentral lists this ribosomal RNA (465 nucleotides) under uncultured Klebsiella sp. RNAcentral's name for it is "bacterial SSU rRNA". It matches the Rfam family "Bacterial small subunit ribosomal RNA", at positions 338 to 795 of the family's 1533-position model. The record is from RNAcentral. Lineage: Bacteria; Pseudomonadati; Pseudomonadota; Gammaproteobacteria; Enterobacterales; Enterobacteriaceae.